CUCGGGGGCAGUAUUGAGACAUUUUGAAAAAAAUAUGUGCCCAUUUUUAACUGCCUCCUACACCAACUCAGAAGCUAGGAUAUGCAUAUUAUUAACACAUUCGGAUAGAGAACACUCUGAAUUUUCUAAAACAGUUUGAAUGGUGUCUGUAAGUAUAACAAAACUCAUAUUGCAGGCAAAAACCUGUGAAAAAUAGAUUUAAAAAAAUGUGAAUUUUGUGACUGUACUAUUUAGUGUCAUUGUUUUAUAGAUACCAUAGUGAGAAAGGAUUCAUUUCGCAACACCUACGGCUUCCACUAGAUGUCAACGAUCUUUAUAAAGUUGUUUGAAGCGUCUAUGAUAAACAGAGAGCAAAUUAGAAUCCAAGGAAGUUGACAUGUCAUCACUUCAUUUUUUUGCGCCUGCGCAUAAAUCUGAGAAACGUGAGUUUUGUCUUCAUUGUUUAUCUCGACAUAGGAUAGGUUGUGUGAAAAUAUUACUGAUGUUUAACGUUAAAAAUGGACCAAAAGAUUAAUGCUAAACAACAUUUGACAUGUUUGAACGAACAUAAAUAGAUUAUUUACUAGGUUUUUUUAGCUUUUCGGCGUGAUUUUACAGUCCCCCACCACGUUUUGUGGGAGCAUAAUGAACGCUAAGUACUUGGUGUUAUUUGGACAUAAAUUAUGAACUUUGUCAAAAGAAACCACAUUUGUUCCGGACCUGGGAUGCCUUCCGGACCUGGGAUGCCUGUCUUCUGAUGGAGAUAAUCAAAGGACCUGAGCCCUAGGACCAUGCCUCAGGACUACCUGGUAUGACUCCUCCUUGCUGUCCCCAGUCCACCUGGCCGUGCUGCUGCUCCAGUUUCAACUGUUCUGCCUGCGGCUAUGGAACCCUGACCUGUUCACCGGACGUGCUUGUUGCACCCUCGACAACUACUAUGAUUAUUAUUAUUUGACCAUGCUGGUCAUUUAUGAACAUUUUAACAUUUUAACAUUUUGACCAUGUUCUGUUAUAAUAUCCACCCUGCACAGCCAGAAGAGGACUGGCCACCCCUCAUAGCCUGGUUCCUCUCUAGGUUUCUUCCUAGGUUUUUGGCCUUUCUAGGGAGUUUUUCCUAGGGAGUUUUUCCUAGCCACCGUGCUUCUUUCACAUGCUUUGCUUGCUGUUUGGGGUUUUAGGCUGGGUUUCUGUACAGCACUUUGAGAAUAUCAGCUGAUGUACGAAGGGCUAUAUAAAAAUAAAUUUGAAAUUUGAUUCAAUGCACCUUGGCAUAGAUUCUACAAGUGUCUGGAACUCUAUUGUCAGGAUGCAUUUGGUGUUUUGUUGAUGGUGGUGGAUAACGUUGUCUCAGGCGGUGCUCCAGAAUCUCCCAUCAGUGUUCAAUUGGGUUGAGAUUUAGUGACUGAGAGGGCCAUGGCAUAUGGUUUGCAUCGUUUUCAUGCUCAUAAAACCAUUCCGUGACCACUCAUGCCCUGUGAAUGGGGGCAUUGUCAUCUUUGGGGCAUCGCCAUGGUAACCAAAAUAAUGGCCUGCCCAGCAUUUUUAUAUCUGACCCUAAGCAUGAUGGGAUGUUAAUUGCUUAAUUAACUCAGGAACCACAGCUGUGUGGAAGCACCUGCUU
This 1600-nucleotide long non-coding RNA is filed under the name Salmo salar (Atlantic salmon). RNAcentral's name for it is "lncRNA (ENSSSAG00000105983.1)". The record is from RNAcentral. Lineage: Eukaryota; Metazoa; Chordata; Actinopteri; Salmoniformes; Salmonidae.